This 253-nucleotide ribosomal RNA is filed under the name uncultured bacterium. RNAcentral's name for it is "partial 16S ribosomal RNA". It matches the Rfam family "Bacterial small subunit ribosomal RNA", at positions 524 to 776 of the family's 1533-position model. The record is from RNAcentral.
UACGGAGGGUGCAAGCGUUGUUCGGAAUCACUGGGCGUAAAGCGCGUGUAGGCGGUCUCUUAAGUCUGGUGUGAAAGCCCGGGGCUUACCCCCGGAAGGGCACUGGAGACUGGGAGACUUGAGUACCGGAGAGGAAGGUGGAAUUCCUGGUGUAGCGGUGAAAUGCGUAGAUAUCAGGAGGAACACCGGUGGCGAAGGCGGCCUUCUGGACGGCUACUGACGCUGAGACGCGAAAGCGUGGGGAGCAAACAGG